UACAGAGGGGGCAAGCGUUGUUCGGAAUUACUGGGCGUAAAGGGCGCGUAGGCGGCCGCCUAAGUCGGACGUGAAAUCCCUCGGCUCAACCGGGGAACUGCGUCUGAUACUGGGUGGCUUGAAUCCGGGAGAGGGAUGCGGAAUUCCAGGUGUAGCGGUGAAAUGCGUAGAUAUCUGGAGGAACACCGGUGGCGAAGGCGGCAUCCUGGACCGGCAUUGACGCUGAGGCGCGAAAGCCAGGGGAGCAAACGGG
Molecule: ribosomal RNA, 253 nt
Filed under: uncultured bacterium
Lineage: Bacteria
Description: partial 16S ribosomal RNA
Rfam family: Bacterial small subunit ribosomal RNA
Source: RNAcentral